AACAAUGAAAUAAUGCGAUAGAAUUCGAGAUUACAACACGAGUUAUAUCCGUGUCAUCUAUUUUAUAUCGCUAUUCAUAAAUUCUAUCUCGGGAAAAAACUCGGUUUUAAAAGCCAAAAAUACAGAAACUAUAAUUACGGCAACCGUUUAUAAUUUGAAAACGAGGCGUACUUUUGACUUCUAUUAUAUAUUGCUUACCGUAUCAAACGAAGAUAACAGGAGUUUAUUUAAAUGUCAACAUUUAAAUAAUAUUUAGUCUUUUUUAUUAAGCAAGUUGUUUCCUUUAAAAGAUAAAAUUUAUAAUUUCUCAUGAAGACUAAGUUUACAGGUUUUUGUUUUUGGUUUGUAAGCUUCACAACGUUUUAUAACUUUCCACUUUAUAAUAGGAUCUGGAUCAUCAGAACUCACAGUGGCUCGCUAUAACUAACCUUGAUCGAAUUUCUAUUGAAUAUUUUGCGUAGUUUGUGAUUCACAGAGAAAACAUAUGCUCAGCCAUUUACAAUUGAUGAAAUAAAGCUUUUUCUUAAGCAUCCGACUGAGUGAUGAAGUUUUUCCUGAAAAAAAACAGUGUUUCUGAAAUUAACUGUGAAAUUGUGUCAGAAAGAAAGAAUCUUGAAUUUGAUCAAGUUUUCCUGAAAAGAACAGUGUUUCUGAUAAUAACAAGGAAAUUGUGUCAGAAAUAAAGAAUCUUGAAUCGUAAGUUUUCUGCAAUUUAUUAUUCUUGUUUAAGUUUUAAAAUCUUUUGUAAUUAAAAAUUGCUAAUUACU
Non-coding RNA from Hydra vulgaris (swiftwater hydra), 767 nucleotides. The record is from RefSeq and is a predicted model, not a curated record. Lineage: Eukaryota; Metazoa; Cnidaria; Hydrozoa; Anthoathecata; Hydridae.